Molecule: ribosomal RNA, 394 nt
Filed under: Eimeria arloingi
Lineage: Eukaryota; Apicomplexa; Conoidasida; Eucoccidiorida; Eimeriidae
Description: SSU rRNA
Rfam family: Eukaryotic small subunit ribosomal RNA
Source: RNAcentral
AUGGCAUUUUAUGCUCUGUAAUUGGAAUGAUGGGAAUGUAAAACCCUUCCAGAGUAACAAUUGGAGGAUAAGUCUGGUGCCAGCAGCCGCGGUAAUUCCAGCUCCAAUAGUGUAUAUUAGAGUUGUUGCAGUUAAAAAGCUCGUAGUUGGAUUUCUGCUGUGGUCAUCCGGUACCGCCCGUAUGGGUGCGCACCUGGUUUGGCUCCGGCUUUCUUCCUGUAGCCGUCCGCGCUUAAUUGCGUGUACUGUGUUACGGAACUUUUACUUUGAGAAAAAUAGAGUGUUUCAAGCAGGCUUGUCGCCCUGAAUACUUCAGCAUGGAAUAAUAGGAUAGGACCUUGGUUCUAUUUUGUUGGUUUCUAGGACCAAGGUAAUGAUUAAUAGGGACAGUUGG